GUCUCUGGUUUCCCAUCCCCUGCUUCAGAUGUGAAAACAUGUUCCUUGCAGUCGGAAUGUAAACUCAUCGACUCCAUUAAACUUGAGCACUAUAUCCCAUCAUCCAGAUCAUCAAUGGAGAUGUUCACCAGGAAUUGCUGAUCACUGGCCUCCAGCUGGAUGUUGCACUCCUGAUCACCACCCCGGCCAGCAGAUUUCAACCAGCCUGCUGUCUGCUCAUCCAGCCCAUACUUCAUGGGCUUCUCUGUGAGGGAGCCCUGUCUGUGUCCACUAGUACACACAUUCAUUUGGAUUUUAAACAAUCAAACAGAAGUGAGAGUUUUAAGAGCAGAAUUAUUUUUCAAAGGGAAAUAGAAGGGUAUGGCUUUGAUGGAACGAGUGCCUUCAAGCUCCACUGGCAGGCACUGUUUGAAAACUAUUUGGGUGAUUUUUGAUAAGAAAUGAAAGAUGCAACAGCAGGAAGCCAUUCAGCAAUCCCUGACAAGGGAGGUCCACUGUCAAUUGCUGGGAGGGCCCUCACCUGUUUCUUUUAAUGGUGCUCCCAAAUCCCACCCCUUGGGCCUCCCAUCCCAUCCUUUUUGGUCCCCUCAGGCAUCUCCUCCCCAGGAUCUGCUCUGUGUCCUACCCAGGGUCCCCAAACAUCCUCCCACUGAUCAUUCCCAAAGCUUUUCUUUCCAGACCUUUGCCUUUCACCCAGGCCACUGCCCUGGUACCUCCCAAGACCAUUCCUUGCCUCCCUCUCCACUCCCAACCAUCUCCCAGUGCCCUCGUUUUUGUCCUCCUCCAUCCUCCUCCUCCUGUCCCCACCAAGCCUCUCCCUUGCAGUCCCCAUGUCCCUACACUUGAAUUCCUUUCCCCUCCCCUGCAUCCCACACAGGGCCCCUUCAACACCCCAAUCCCAGUCCCGUGGGCUCCCCAGUUCCCCCCAGUUCAGCAUCUUUGGGUCCCCUCCUACUCCCCCCACCCUCCCUGCAGGCCCUGAAUUCCCCUGGCUCUCCUUGUCUCCAUCCCCACCCUGGGCCCUGCAGGCCCAGGGGUUGGAGGUGAAACUGGGUGCAGUGGGAGCAGGGGGAGUAGAAGGGAUUUUCCCCCUCAGACGGGGGCAGCCCUGGGCUGGGGGGGCUGGGGACACCCGUGUCCCUCCCCCAGCCCCACAGGGGCCAAUCCUGCUUAAACCUUUGCUCUCCUUGCCCAGGCACUCUUGGCAGGAACCCAAAAUGAUCUGCGGGAGCUGCAUUUAGUGGACGUUGGGAUCCUGAAGAUGGCUCAGGCUCCCAAUACAUCCCACUGCACCCAGGGUGUCUCUGAGCCUGUCUUUGUCCCCAGCCCCCUGUGGUUGAGAAGGUGGUGGGUCUUGUUGGUGAGAAACGCGUGGCUGCAUCCCUGGAUGGCUGAGGACUGGUGGUGACACCCGUGCCCUGUCCCCCUCCAGCACCAUGAAGAGAUGAUCAUCCCUGGAAGAACCCCCUGCUUUCCCUCAGAGC
Pseudopipra pipra is the source of this 1484-nucleotide long non-coding RNA. RefSeq lists it as uncharacterized. The record is from RefSeq and is a predicted model, not a curated record. The transcript has 5 exons. NCBI's taxonomy places the organism in Eukaryota, Metazoa, Chordata, Aves, Passeriformes, Pipridae.